AGCAGCCGCGGUAAUUCCAGCUCCAAUAGCGUAUAUUAAAGUUGUUGCAGUUAAAAAGCUCGUAGUUGAAUUUCGGGAUCAGUAGGUUGGUCAUGCCUUUGGUAUGUACUGGCCUCACUGAUUCCUCCCUCUUGAAGAACUGUAAUGUUAUUAAUUUGGUGUUGCGGGGAAUCAGGACUGUUACUUUGAAAAAAUUAGAGUGUUUAAAGCAGGCUUACGCUUGAAUACAUUAGCAUGGAAUAAUGAAAUAGGACGUUUGAUUCUAUUUUGUUGGUUUCUAGGAUUGACGUAAUGAUUAAUAGGGAUAGUUGGGGGCAUUAGUAUUCAAUUGUCAGAGGUGAAAUUCUUGGAUUUAUUGAAGACUAACUACUGCGAAAGCAUUUGCCAAGGAUGUUUUCAUUAAUCAAGAACGAAAGUUAGGGGAUCGAAGACGAUCAGAUACCGUCGUAGUCUUAACCAUAAACUAUGCCGACUAGGGAUCGGAUGAUGUUAAUUUUUUAAUGACUCAUUCGGCGCCUUA
Molecule: ribosomal RNA, 520 nt
Filed under: uncultured Glomus
Lineage: Eukaryota; Fungi; Glomeromycota; Glomeromycetes; Glomerales; Glomeraceae
Description: SSU rRNA
Rfam family: Eukaryotic small subunit ribosomal RNA
Source: RNAcentral